GGGAAUAACCUCGUGAGUCAAUUUACAGUUAGUAUCAGAGCAAGAACCAUUCAGAAAUUUAGAGCAGACGGCGAUUUUAGAUGGGUCAUGAAUGUAAGGACAUUUUCCACUAUCCUUGUUACACUUGCCAAACCUUGUAAAAAACUGGCAAUACUGUUUCUUUCUUGCCAACCGAAUUCUAGCAGUGUGCAAACUCCAGCGUACUUUCUCACUUGCUAAG
RNAcentral lists this unclassified non-coding RNA (220 nucleotides) under Hevea brasiliensis (rubber tree). The record is from RNAcentral. Lineage: Eukaryota; Viridiplantae; Streptophyta; Magnoliopsida; Malpighiales; Euphorbiaceae.